CGUGUAGGCGGAGAUGCAAGUUGGGAGUGAAAUCCCGGGGCUCAACCCCGGAACUGCUCUCAAAACUGUAUCCCUUGAGUAUCGGAGAGGCAAGCGGAAUUCCUAGUGUAGCGGUGAAAUGCGUAGAUAUUAGGAGGAACACCAGUGGCGAAGGCGGCUUGCUGGACGACAACUGACGCUGAGGCGCGAAAGCGUGGGGAGCAAACAG
Molecule: ribosomal RNA, 208 nt
Filed under: uncultured bacterium
Lineage: Bacteria
Description: partial 16S ribosomal RNA
Rfam family: Bacterial small subunit ribosomal RNA
Source: RNAcentral